CCUACGGGAGGCUGCAGUGAGGAAUAUUGGUCAAUGGACGCAAGUCUGAACCAGCCAUGCCGCGUGCAGGAUGACGGCUCUAUGAGUUGUAAACUGCUCUUGUACGAGGAUAAACGCAGAUUCGUGUACCUGUCUGAAAGUUUCCUACGAAUAAGCAUCCGCUAACUUCGUGCGAGCAGCCGCGGUAAUAAGGAGGAUUCAAGGGUUAUCCGGAUUUAUUGGGUUUAAAGGGUGCGUAGGCGGUCGGAUAAGUUAGAGGUGAAAUCCCGUGGCUCAACUUCGGAAUUGCCUCUGAUACUGUACGGCUAGAGAGUAGAUGCGGUAGGCGGAAUGUAUGGUGUAGCGGUGAAAUGCUUAGAUAUCAUGCAGAACACCGAUUGCGAAGGCAGCUUACCGGGCUACUUCUGACGUUGAGGCUCGAAAGCGUGGGGAGCAAACAGGAUUAGAUACCCCAGUAGUC
Molecule: ribosomal RNA, 460 nt
Filed under: uncultured bacterium
Lineage: Bacteria
Description: partial 16S ribosomal RNA
Rfam family: Bacterial small subunit ribosomal RNA
Source: RNAcentral